Glycine soja is the source of this 1866-nucleotide RNA transcript. RefSeq lists it as uncharacterized. NCBI's taxonomy places the organism in Eukaryota, Viridiplantae, Streptophyta, Magnoliopsida, Fabales, Fabaceae. The record is from RefSeq and is a predicted model, not a curated record. The transcript is spliced from 6 exons.
UUUAAUUAAAUAAACACAUAAGCGCACCUGUUGGAAACCCUAGCUAAAAUGCAUCCUCACACUCCUCGACUUCCCUUCUUCAAACCCCCUUUCAAUUUCAGAUAACCCUCUUUGCACAACGAUUCUCAGACUCUGAGCUCUCUCGUCGGUGGUGGUCAGAGAAGGAAAAUAGUCGCAAACAAAGGAGAAAAAGACCCCAUUGACAAGCGGCACAUCGUUUGGAGCUCUUUCUACUACCAACAAGGAUCGCGGCAGGAUGCAUGGCGUCUAUGGAACACCACGUUCUCGAACUCGGCAACCCCGAUCUCUGAGAAAAUGCUCUCCAUGAACUCUCAAGGAAAUAGUUUCAAUAUUCCCUGUUAUUUCACCUCCAAACCUUACUCCAGCACAAUCAACUCGAGUGUGCAAUGCUCUUGCUCUUUUUCAGUAUGGAAUGUCAAUUCUGCAAUGAAGAUAGUUGCAAUAGAAUUCAAGACAAUUCUGCAUGGUCUUCAAGAUUAUUCUUUAAGCAAGCAACCAGUUGGCGACAACGUUCACCGAAGGAUAUUAUAAUCUCUGUUGCAUCUGAGAUGUCACAAGAGUUUGAAAGAAAUUCUCAACUUCCUGUGCAGAUGUAUUCCAUCUCAAUCCACAGCCACCAUUAAGCUUGAGCUACUUCCAUUGGCAGCAUACAAGUUUUGAUGAGGAGAAACAUAACAAAAAAACAAGCUAAGUUGCAAGAAAUUAUGGAAAUGCUUUGUUUUCCUCCUAUUAGCUCUUUUGUUAUACUCUCAUCACCUGAUAUAUUUUUCAUAUAUAGAAAAUGUUAACAUGUAAUGAAUGUGUGAUACUUAAAUUCAUAUCCUUAAAAUUUAGAAAGAAAACAAAAAGACAAAUAAGUUUUAAGCAAGGGACAACUAUAUUGACAAGCUUUAUAUUACUAUACUAUGUAUUUUUCUAGUGUGUAAAUUCCUUGAUUAGAAUUAGUUCAUAUUCAUAGAAUUUGAGGUGGAGAAGAUAUAUAUUCAAGGCAUGCACGUACCUUAUGAGUAGCAUAUGGUACAUACAAAGAUAUCAUAGACUUAACUAUGAUUAAUCAUCUAGUCUCAUAUAUUUGCAAGUAAUUAAUUAAUUACCAAGUAACUAAAUAAGAUGUACUAGUUUGCUUGAUAGUUGAUUGAUAACCUUCCUUGUAGGUACGUAGGUUCGUUUUUAUGCUUUUGGGUCAUGUCAUUCCUUACAUUAUCUCUGGGCUUAUGGCAGGGAAAGGAACCCAGUGGAUUUCAACAAGCUGGACACAAUUAGGCACCAGUUUAAAGGAAGCAGCUCAAGGCACAUACAUAACUCAGUUGGAAAACAAUACCAUCCAGUGGAAACAGGGGAAAAGGUGAAAGGCCAAGAAAUGUAAUAUGCUUACUAUUAUUACCUUUUUAGAAUUACAGCUAUAGCAGAAACCUUCUGAGCAAGUAAUGGUGGAGGAGACUGCAAUAGCGCCAAAAGUUAAAAAUACAAGCAACUAAAUAAUUACUGAAACCAUAUUUAGUUUUCUAGAUUUCACUUAAAAAUUAACAAACAGUAGUAUAAGAUUGAGAUGUCCUAUCUGAAAAUUCAAGUUUAAAUAUCUAGAUUUACAGAGAUGACACUCAAAUUUAUCUAUCUUGCGUGGCAAAUUCUACAUGCAAAGGUGAGUUUGGCACGCAUCUUGUGAAAAUUCAAAGUGCAAGUUAUAUUUAUCUGUGGAUGUAACUGUAAGUAUUGUACAUCACCCAACUCCAAGCGUGUCAAAAGUGUACAUCAUCCAAUAUUUUGGUCAGACAAAUUUCUGCCAAGGGACAACAUUAAAAAAGUUUGCAGAUUUAUAUACUACAACAAUUGAGUUGUCCACAA